AGCCGGCUGACAGGCACAACCUGCUGCGGCCCGAGACGGUCGAGAGCCUCUUCUACCUGUACCGCUUCACGGGCGAGCGCAAGUACCAGGACUGGGGCUGGGAGAUCCUGCAGAGCUUCAACGCGUACACCAGGGUCCCCUCGGGCGGCUACUCGUCCAUCGGCAACGUCCAGGAUGCCCGCAACCCCCAGCCCAGGGACAAGAUGGAGAGCUUCUUCCUCGGGGAGACCCUCAAGUACCUGUACCUGCUCUUCUCCGACGACCCGGACCUGCUCAGCCUGGACGCCUACGUCUUCAACACCGAGGCGCACCCCCUGCCCAUCUGGGCCCCCGCCUAGGGCGGGCCCGCUGCCCGGUGGGCGCGGCUCGGGGCUCUGCCGCGCGUGGUCGCCGAGGGCGCCUGUCGGCAAGACCCUGGCCCUGCCCUCGGCUGUGCGGCGCCCACCCAGCUGGCGGGACGUGCUCCGGGCCGGGCCGAUGGCAGAGGCCAGCGGCCGUCCGGCCCGGGACGUUUCGGGUCCUCGGAGGCGCUUGAGGGGGCUGCUGGCGCCCGCGCUCCGCCUCUGGCUCCGGGCGCCUCGCCUGGUUGUCAUCAGGACACUGGCCAUCAGGAGCCCGUCGGAACACGUCAGCGCUGUGAUGUGGGGAGGCCCUGCCCCCGGGAGCCUUCCGCCUCCUUCCUGAGAAGAUCAGAUUCUGACUCGAUUCCCGAGGCCCGGGUGCCUCCUGCUGCUGCGCCGCGCACGGGCUCCGUGGGGGUCCCGGGGCCUGCGGUCACCCUGGGCCACUCGGGGUCCCCGGAGGCGCGAUGUGGUGGUCAGAGACGGGAGCCGAGGGGCCAGCCCGGGUGCGGCUCAGCCUCGAGGUCUCAGAGCCUGUGGACGUGCCCUGACCCCAGGGUCUCGGGGUGUCCGUGACCUUAUGGGCAGCAGCCGGGCUCCGGCAGCUGCAGUGUUUACACGUUGGACUCAGGGAUCCUCCCCCUGCCCUGCAGGUGCGGGGCGGGGCGGGGCGGGGCUGGGCGGGAAGG
This 1030-nucleotide long non-coding RNA is filed under the name Sus scrofa (pig). Its description in RNAcentral is "lncRNA (ENSSSCG00065073912.1)". The record is from RNAcentral. Lineage: Eukaryota; Metazoa; Chordata; Mammalia; Artiodactyla; Suidae.